GGCUGUCGUCAGCUCGUGUCGUGAGAUGUUGGGUUAAGUCCCGCAACGGGCGCAACCCACGUCUUUAGUUGCCAGCAUUCAGUUGGGCACUCUAGAGAGACCGCCGGUGAUAAACCGGAGGAAGGUGUGGAUGACGUCAAGUCAUCAUGCCCCUUACAUCCUGGGCUACACACGUACUACAAUGCUACGGACAAAGGGCAGCAAACUCGCGAGAGCUAGCAAAUCCCAUAAACCGUGGCUCAGUUCAGAUCGUAGGCUGCAACUCGCCUACGUGAAGGAGGAAUCGCUAGUAAUCGCAGGUCAGCAUACUGCGGUGAAUACGUUCCCGGGCCUUGUACACACCGCCCGUCACACCAUGGAAGUUGGCCACGCCCGAAGUCGUUACUCCAACCCUCGUGGAGGAGGAUGCCGAAGGUGGGGCUGAUGACUGGGGUGAAGUCGUAACAAGGUAGCCGUACCGGAAGGUGCGGCUGGAUCACCUCCUAA
This 486-nucleotide ribosomal RNA is filed under the name uncultured cyanobacterium. Its description in RNAcentral is "bacterial SSU rRNA". It matches the Rfam family "Bacterial small subunit ribosomal RNA", at positions 1047 to 1533 of the family's 1533-position model. Lineage: Bacteria; Bacillati; Cyanobacteriota. The record is from RNAcentral.